This 403-nucleotide ribosomal RNA is filed under the name uncultured beta proteobacterium. Its description in RNAcentral is "bacterial SSU rRNA". It matches the Rfam family "Bacterial small subunit ribosomal RNA", at positions 9 to 416 of the family's 1533-position model. The record is from RNAcentral. Lineage: Bacteria; Pseudomonadati; Pseudomonadota; Betaproteobacteria.
GAGUUUGAUCCUGGCUCAGAUUGAACGCUGGCGGAAUGCUUUACACAUGCAAGUCGAGCGGCAGCGCGGGGCAACCUGGCGGCGAGCGGCGAACGGGUGAGUAAUGCAUCGGAACAUGUCCUGUCGUGGGGGAUAGCCCGGCGAAAGCCGGAUUAAUACCGCAUACGUCCGAGAGGAGAAAGUGGGGGACCGAAAGGCCUCACGCGAUUGGGUUGGCCGAUGUCCGAUUAGCUAGUUGGUGGGGUAAAGGCCCACCAAGGCGAUGAUCGGUAGCUGGUCUGAGAGGAUGAUCAGCCACACUGGGACUGAGACACGGCCCAGACUCCUACGGGAGGCAGCAGUGGGGAAUUUUGGACAAUGGGGGCAACCCUGAUCCAGCCAUUCCGCGUGAGUGAAGAAGGCC